RNAcentral lists this ribosomal RNA (682 nucleotides) under bacterium xpnta473lb9onp9.24dc. Its description in RNAcentral is "bacterial SSU rRNA". It matches the Rfam family "Bacterial small subunit ribosomal RNA", at positions 51 to 716 of the family's 1533-position model. The record is from RNAcentral.
AUACAUGCAAGUCGAGCGAAUCGAUGGGAGCUUGCUCCUUGAGAUUAGCGGCGGACGGGUGAGUAACACGUGGGCAACCUGCCCUGCAGAUGGGGAUAACUCCGGGAAACCGGGGCUAAUACCGAAUAAUCAGUUCCUCCGCAUGGAGGAACUCUGAAAGACGGUUUCGGCUGUCACUGCAGGAUGGGCCCGCGGCGCAUUAGCUUGUUGGUGGGGUAACGGCCUACCAAGGCGACGAUGCGUAGCCGACCUGAGAGGGUGAUCGGCCACACUGGGACUGAGACACGGCCCAGACUCCUACGGGAGGCAGCAGUAGGGAAUCUUCCACAAUGGACGAAAGUCUGAUGGAGCAACGCCGCGUGAGCGAAGAAGGUUUUCGGAUCGUAAAGCUCUGUUGUGAGGGAAGAACAAGUACGGGAGUAACUGCCCGUACCUUGACGGUACCUCAUCAGAAAGCCACGGCUAACUACGUGCCAGCAGCCGCGGUAAUACGUAGGUGGCAAGCGUUGUCCGGAAUUAUUGGGCGUAAAGCGCGCGCAGGCGGUCCCUUAAGUCUGAUGUGAAAGCCCACGGCUCAACCGUGGAGGGUCAUUGGAAACUGGGGGACUUGAGUACAGAAGAGGAAAGCGGAAUUCCACGUGUAGCGGUGAAAUGCGUAGAGAUGUGGAGGAACACCAGUGGC